CUUGUAUUGUGAAACUGCGAAUGGCUCAUUAUAUCAUUAAUGAUUUCUUUGAUGGUGGUUAGCACAUGGAUAACUGUGCGUAAACGUACUAGCUAAUAGCAUGCGCAACACCCCNCGUUGGAGGGUAGAGCUAUUUAUUAAUAUAGCAACCAAUCUCCGGUCUCGGCCGGUGCGGCUGACUCAUGUUAACUUGCAAACCACACGACCUUGUGUCGGUGGGUCAUCAUUCAGAUUUCUGCCCUAUCAUUCUUUCGAUGGCGGUGUCGUGGACUGCCAUGGCUUUAACGGGUGACGGAGAAUUGGGGUUCUGAUUCCGGAGAGGGAGCCUGAGAAAUGGCUACCACAUCCAAGGAUGGCAGCAGGCGCGUAAAUUGCCCAAUCCUGACACAGGGAGGCAGUGACAAGAAAUAACAACGCAAGGGCCUUGUGCCUUUGCNAUGGAAUGAGAACAAGUCAAAUCUCUUAUCAAAAGCCAUUGGAGGGCAAGUCUGGU
This 493-nucleotide ribosomal RNA is filed under the name uncultured eukaryote. RNAcentral describes it as "bacterial SSU rRNA". It matches the Rfam family "Eukaryotic small subunit ribosomal RNA", at positions 73 to 565 of the family's 1831-position model. The record is from RNAcentral.